RNAcentral lists this ribosomal RNA (596 nucleotides) under Bacillus cereus. RNAcentral's name for it is "bacterial SSU rRNA". It matches the Rfam family "Bacterial small subunit ribosomal RNA", at positions 74 to 651 of the family's 1533-position model. The record is from RNAcentral. Lineage: Bacteria; Bacillati; Bacillota; Bacilli; Caryophanales; Bacillaceae.
UUUUAAUUGGAAAAGUUUAAGCGGGCGGACGGGUGAGUAACACGUGGGUAACCUGCCCAUAAGACUGGGAUAACUCCGGGAAACCGGGGCUAAUACCGGAUAACAUUUUGAACCGCAUGGUUCGAAAUUGAAAGGCGGCUUCGGCUGUCACUUAUGGAUGGACCCGCGUCGCAUUAGCUAGUUGGUGAGGUAACGGCUCACCAAGGCAACGAUGCGUAGCCGACCUGAGAGGGUGAUCGGCCACACUGGGACUGAGACACGGCCCAGACUCCUACGGGAGGCAGCAGUAGGGAAUCUUCCGCAAUGGACGAAAGUCUGACGGAGCAACGCCGCGUGAGUGAUGAAGGCUUUCGGGUCGUAAAACUCUGUUGUUAGGGAAGAACAAGUGCUAGUUGAAUAAGCUGGCACCUUGACGGUACCUAACCAGAAAGCCACGGCUAACUACGUGCCAGCAGCCGCGGUAAUACGUAGGUGGCAAGCGUUAUCCGGAAUUAUUGGGCGUAAAGCGCGCGCAGGUGGUUUCUUAAGUCUGAUGUGAAAGCCCACGGGCCUCAACCGGUGGAGGGUCAUUGGAUACUGGGGAGACUUGAGUGCAA